RNAcentral lists this long non-coding RNA (272 nucleotides) under Musa acuminata (dwarf banana). RNAcentral describes it as "long non-coding RNA (MACU_LNC011602)". Lineage: Eukaryota; Viridiplantae; Streptophyta; Magnoliopsida; Zingiberales; Musaceae. The record is from RNAcentral.
UCAGACUCAUUUUGUAACGAAGGUGUUGACUUAACCGAGCAUCAUGGUUGGUCGAGUCCCUCGAGGCCAUGGUGAUUCGGAGGCCGAACAGGACGGGAAUCACAAGGAGUUGUGAUCGGCAAGAGUUGCCUACCUUUUAGGCUUAGUGUGAUUGGUCGAGUCCCUCGAGGUUACACUAAGACGCUGAUUGGAUCCUGAUCCCCACUAGAAGUCUGCCGGAGACUUCCGUUUCAUGUGCUGAGGGUGUCGCGUGACUCGUUAGUAAAAUAAUG